UACAGAGGGGGCAAGCGUUGUUCGGAAUUACUGGGCGUAAAGGGCGCGUAGGCGGCCUUCUAAGUCGAACGUGAAAUCCCUGGGCUCGACCCAGGAACUGCGUCCGAUACUGGCGGGCUUGAAUCCGGGAGAGGGAUGUGGAAUUCCAGGUGUAGCGGUGAAAUGCGUAGAUAUCUGGAGGAACACCGGUGGCGAAGGCGGCAUCCUGGACCGGUAUUGACGCUGAGGCGCGAAAGCUAGGGGAGCAAACGGG
Molecule: ribosomal RNA, 253 nt
Filed under: uncultured bacterium
Lineage: Bacteria
Description: partial 16S ribosomal RNA
Rfam family: Bacterial small subunit ribosomal RNA
Source: RNAcentral